Molecule: ribosomal RNA, 842 nt
Filed under: uncultured organism
Description: bacterial SSU rRNA
Rfam family: Bacterial small subunit ribosomal RNA
Source: RNAcentral
GGGCUCAACCCGUGAUCUGCUUUUAAUACUGUCGGUCUUGAGUAUUGGGAGAGGGAGAUGGAAUUCCAGGUGUAACGGUGGAAUGCGUAGAUAUCUGGAAGAACACCAGUUGCGAAGGCGGUAUCAUGGACCAAUACUGACGCUGAUGCUCGAAAGCUGGGGGAGCGAACAGGAUUAGAUACCCUGGUAGUCCCAGCCGUAAACGAUGGACACUAGUUGCCGGAGGAGUCAAUCCCUUCGGUGACGAAGCUAACGCAUUAAGUGUCCCGCCUGGGGAGUACGCUCGCAAGGGUGAAACUCAAAGGAAUUGACGGGGGCACGCACAAGCGGUGGAGCAUGUGCUUUAAUUCGAUGCAACGCGAAGAACCUUACAUGGGUUUGACAUGGGGGUGAAAGUUUCCAGAGAUGGAAGCCUUUCCUUCGGGAACACCCCACACAGGUGCUGCAUGGUUGUCGUCAGCUCGUGUCGUGAGAUGUUGGGUUAAGUCCCGCAACGAGCGCAACCCCUGCCUUUAGUUGCCAUCAGGUUAAGCUGGGAACUCUAAGGGGACAGCUUGGUAUAACCAGGAGGAAGCUGGGGAUGACGUCAAAUCAUCAUGGCUAUUACGCCCAGGGCUAGACACGUGCUACAAUGGCAGGUACAGUGGGAUGCCAGCGUGCGAAGGUGAGAUAAUCCCGUAAACAGUGUCUCAGUCCGGAUUGGAGUCUGCAACUCGAGUCCAUGAAGAUUGGAAUCGGCUAGUAAUCCGCGGAUCAGCAUGCCUCGGUGAUACGUUCCCGGGCAUUGUACACACCGCCUGUCAAGCCAUGAAAGGCGGUAGUACCACGAAGUCGCGUACCCA